AGAGUUUGAUCCUGGCUCAGAACGUACGCUGGCGGCACGCCUUAUACAUGCAAGUCGAACGAAGUAGCAAUACUUAGUGGCAGACGGGUGAGUAACAUGUAGGUAUCUGUCCUUUGGCCUGGAAUAACACGAGGAAACUUGUGCUAAUACCGGAUAAGUCUUUACGGAGAAAGCUUUAUGCACCAUUGGAUGAGCCUGCACUUGAUUAGUUUGUUGGUGGGGUAAUGGCCUACCAAGACAAUUAUCAAUAGCUGAUUUGAGAGGAUGAUCAGCCACAUUGGAACUGAGACACGGUCCAAACUCCUACGGGAGGCAGCAGUAGGGAAUCUUGCACAAUGGAGGAAACUCUGAUGCAGCGAUGCCGCGUGAGUGAAGAAGGCCUUUGGGUUGUAAAGCUCUUUCGUCGGGGAAGAAAAUGACUGUACCCGAAUAAGAAGGUCCGGCUAACUUCGUGCCAGCAGCCGCGGUAAUACGAAGGGACCUAGCGUAGUUCGGAAUUACUGGGCUUAAAGAGUUCGUAGGUGGUUAAAAAAGUUGGUGGUGAAAUCCCAGAGCUUAACUCUGGAACUGCCAUCAAAACUUUUUAGCUAGAGUAUGAUAGAGGAAAGCAGAAUUUCUAGUGUAGAGGUGAAAUUCGUAGAUAUUAGAAAGAAUACCGAUUGCGAAGGCAGCUUUCUGGAUCAUUACUGACACUGAGGAACGAAAGCAUGGGUAGCGAAGAGGAUUAGAUACCCUCGUAGUCCAUGCCGUAAACGAUGUGUGUUAGACGUUGGAAAUUUAUUUUCAGUGUCGCAGCGAAAGCAAUAAACACACCGCCUGGGGAGUACGACCGCAAGGUUAAAACUCAAAUGAAUUGACGGGGACCCGCACAAGUAGUGGAGCAUGUGGUUUAAUUCGAAGAUACGCGCAGAACCUUACCAACACUUGACAUGUUCGUCGCGACUUUAAGAGAUUAAAGUUUUCGGUUCGGCCGGACGAAACACAGGUGCUGCAUGGCUGUCGUCAGCUCGUGUCGUGAGAUGUUGGGUUAAGUCCCGCAACGAGCGCAACCCUCACUUUUAGUUGCCAUCAUUUAGUUGGGCACUCUGAAAGAACUGCCAGUGAUAAGCUGGAGGAAGGUGGGGAUGACGUCAAGUCCUCAUGGCCCUUAUGUGUUGGGCUACACACGUGCUACAAUGGUAUCUACAACAGGAAGCAAAACAGCGAUGUUAAGCAAAUCCCGAAAAGAUACCUCAGUUCGGAUUGCACUCUGCAACUCGAGUGCAUGAAGCUGGAAUUACUAGUAAUCGUGGAUCAGCGUGCCACGGUGAAUACGUUCCCGGGUCUUGUACACACCGCCCGUCACACCAUGGGAGUUGGUUCUACCUUAAGGCAAGGUUUCAAACCCUUGACCACGGUAUAGUCAGCGACUGGGGUGAAGUCGUAACAAGGUAACC
Molecule: ribosomal RNA, 1436 nt
Filed under: uncultured bacterium
Lineage: Bacteria
Description: bacterial SSU rRNA
Rfam family: Bacterial small subunit ribosomal RNA
Source: RNAcentral